UGUGGAGGUACAGUCCUAUGAUGUACCUUGAAUGCAUAACUGUAAAGAGGUACCAUGUGGAGGUACGGUCCUAUGAUGUACAGAAAACACUUUGCUGUAAGUAGGUACCAUGUGGAGGUACAGUCCUAUGAGAUACCUUGAAUGCAUAGCUGUAAAGAGGUACCAUGUGGAGGUACAGUCCUAUGAGAUACCUUGAACGCAUAGCUGUAAAGAAGUACCAUGUGGAGGUACAGUCCUAUGAGAUACCUUGAAUGCAUAGCUGUAAAGAAGUACCAUGUGGAGGUACAGUCCUAUGAGAUACCUUGAAUGCAUAGCUGUAAAGAGGUACCAUGUGGAGGUACAGUCCUAUGAGAUACCUUGAACGCAUAGCUGUAAAGAAGUACCAUGUGGAGGUACAGUCCUAUGAGAUACCUUGAAUGCAUAGCUGUAAAGAAGUACCAUGUGGAGGUACAGUCCUAUGAGAUACCUUGAAUGCAUAGCUGUAAAGAAGUACCAUGUGGAGGUACAGUCCUAUGAUAUAC
Long non-coding RNA from Octopus bimaculoides (California two-spot octopus), 521 nucleotides. The record is from RefSeq and is a predicted model, not a curated record. NCBI's taxonomy places the organism in Eukaryota, Metazoa, Mollusca, Cephalopoda, Octopoda, Octopodidae.